This 252-nucleotide ribosomal RNA is filed under the name uncultured bacterium. Its description in RNAcentral is "partial 16S ribosomal RNA". It matches the Rfam family "Bacterial small subunit ribosomal RNA", at positions 524 to 776 of the family's 1533-position model. The record is from RNAcentral.
UACGUAAGGAGCGAGCGUUAUCCGGAUUUAUUGGGCAUAAAGCGCGCGUAGGUGGUUACUUAAGUCAGAUGUUAAAUCCCCCGGCUCAACCGGGGUUCGCAUGUGAAACUGGGUAACUAGAGAACAGGAGAGGAAAGCGGAACUCACAGUGUAGCGGUGAAAUGCGUAGAUAUUGUGAGGAACACCAGUUGCGAAGGCGGCUUUCUGGUCUGUUUCUGACACUGAGGUGCGAAAGCGUGGGGAGCGAACGGG